GGGCGCGUAGCUCAGUUGGUUAGAGCGCUUCGCUUACACCGAAGAGGUCAGGGGUUCGAGUCCCUUCGCGCCCA
Molecule: transfer RNA, 74 nt
Filed under: Fodinibius sp.
Lineage: Bacteria; Pseudomonadati; Balneolota; Balneolia; Balneolales; Balneolaceae
Also listed under: 4 other names
Description: tRNA-Val
Rfam family: tRNA
About the family: Transfer RNA (tRNA) molecules are approximately 80 nucleotides in length.
Source: RNAcentral